This 1750-nucleotide unclassified non-coding RNA is filed under the name Penaeus chinensis. Its description in RNAcentral is "uncharacterized LOC125036546, transcript variant X1". Lineage: Eukaryota; Metazoa; Arthropoda; Malacostraca; Decapoda; Penaeidae. The record is from RNAcentral.
CCAUUGCGCAGGUAUCUUCUGUGUGUAGCAGUUUUGGAUUUAAUCAGAGCGUGUGGUGUGCCUUUGUCAUUUACGAUGCUGUAGCUUCCCUUGUUGCUGCGUGGUUGUUAUAAUUGCGUUGUUUAAGGGAGUACUAAAGUAGGAUAUCGAUUCAAUUCUCUUCCUGUCGAUAUUUCGCGUGUAUGAAUAGAUUCGCAGCUAAACUGGAGUCUGGCUGAGAGUUUGUCCACUCGCUUGGUUGUUUAACAUAGGUUAUGGUAAACGAGGCUGUUGCUCUCGCUUAGCGGCUCCCAACCCGGUGCUCUCUGUAGUCAAGAAGUGCGUUUUCACCGCGGUUAAAAUAAGUUGCGAAAAGAGGCAAAGCUGUCCAGCUCAUCUGAACAACGAACAUGUGGAAUAUUUUGGCAUCACUCUUUGGUCUGUCCCAGAGGACCUGCGCGCCGAAGGAGAAGAAAGGUCAAAGGUGGCGAAGAGUUUUCCCUCAAGUCGUUGUGGUCAACGGAGCAGCCACCUUACUCGCGUUUUUCUCUAACUGCGGACCGUGUAUCUUCACUGCCUGCGAGGUCAAAGGUUACGCGCUGUGGGGUACAGCCGAAACCCUGUCAACCUGGUUCGUGAGAUGGUACUUCAUCUCGCUGGGACUCCUCAUCAUUUUCACAAUUCUCUCGUGCUGGUGCAAGAUCUGUGUGCUUCUGGAAGAUCAAGGGCGAUGCAACAGCGCAAGGGCACAGCUCCUCCUCAACACCCUGGUUGUCUGCUUCAACUACGCCGUAGGGUGGUUGCCGUACGUUCUGCUGGUGGGCAUAAGUGGCAGCCUGGAUGGAGGCUCCUUUGUGGAAGGCUUUGAAAGCGGUCUGACGGAUUUCCAUUGCCACCUUCACGAUGCGUCCGUCCGCGGGGCUUUGGUCGUCCUGGUCGCGUCCUCGGCCAUUUAUCUCCGCCACGCCUACUUUGGCCUGGGCGGACGGGUCCUAGGAGAUGGCUACAUGCUGAUGGGCGGUUUGAUUCUGCCGUGGUUCAUGGCCACAAUAACGAGGGUGUUCUUGGUGGGGCAAGAGUGGCGCCUUCCGACUAAGUCUCUGCUGAGGGAAGGAAGCAACGGGACUUUCACGAUGAGAGCAAACAUGAUAUUCUGCGAGACGAUCGUCAACAACGACUGGUUAAAUCACGUGAUGGCUGAGUGGCUGUUGACGUUGGUGAUGACUGGAUUGGUUGCAUUCUGGUUCCCGACUGUCAGACGACGUUCACAAGAUCAUUCAAAGCUCAUUCAAAGGCCCAUUGGACUUUUUGCUUCUGGUGAGUAUUACAUGGAGUCAGUGUCCGUCAUCGCUAUAAUGUGGUUCCUCACCAUCAGACCUCUCCUGGCGACCAGUAUAUUCCUUUCUUCAAACGAAAGCUGGUCCUCCUACCUUGACAUCCCUUCCCACGUCCUCAUCAUGAUGUCUGCGUCUCUCGUGCCCUUUGAGGUCGAGGACCGAUGGGCGAUGGCUGUGGAGGAGGAAUCUCCUGCAGAAGAAGAAGGGAAAGCGGGCAGAGUGACAUCUCUGCAUGGCGAGGAGGGAGCAAAGGCCUGGGAGGAGAAACAAGGGAGUGCUAUAGUGAACUCAGAUGAACAUUUUUGAAAAGUGAAAAACUGUUACGUGCCUCAUGGGGUGACAAAAUAUGUGGCAUGAAUACGCUUUCUUCAAAUAUGCUUUUUGAUAAUGUACGGCUGCGCACUCGCCGACUCUAAGGUCGAUCUCGCCUGGAC